CGCAAUGGGCGAAAGCCUGACGCAGCGACGCCGCGUGCGGGAAGAAGGCCUUCGGGUUGUAAACCGCUUUCAGGGAGGGACGAAGCCACUCGGGGUUAAUAGCCCAGAGGGUGACGGUACCUCCAGAAGAAGCCCCGGCUAACUACGUGCCAGCAGCCGCGGUAAUACGUAGGGGGCAAGCGUUGUCCGGAUUUAUUGGGCGUAAAGAGCGUGUAGGCGGUCAGGUAGGUCGGUUGUGAAAACUGGAGGCUCAACCUUCAGAGGUCGACCGAAACCCCCUGGCUAGAGUCCGGGAGAGGAGAGUGGAAAUUCCUGGUGUAGCGGUGAAAUGCGCAGAUAUCAGGAAGAACACCCGUGGCGAAAGGCGGCUCUCUGGAACGGUACUGACGCUGAGACGCGAAAGCGUGGGGAGCGAACAGGAUUAGAUACCCUGGUAGUCCACGCCGUAAACGAUGGGCGCUAGGUGUGGGAGGUGUCGACUCCUUCCGUGCCGAAGCUAACGCAUUAAGCGCCCCGCCGUGGGGAGUACGGCCGCAAGGACUA
This 543-nucleotide ribosomal RNA is filed under the name uncultured Actinomycetes bacterium. RNAcentral describes it as "bacterial SSU rRNA". It matches the Rfam family "Bacterial small subunit ribosomal RNA", at positions 367 to 897 of the family's 1533-position model. The record is from RNAcentral. Lineage: Bacteria; Bacillati; Actinomycetota; Actinomycetes.